GUCUCCCCUCCUUUUACUCUACAUGUGUUUCAUGGUUUCAAAACUUUAGCCCUUCAGCUUGCUAACGCCAAUUCUUCCAAAGACAGUUUCAAAACUUCAGACCUUUGGCUUUCUAAUCUAAUUAAUGAUAAAUAGAUAAAUAAUUAGACAUUCAGAAUUUUGAGAUGCACAGCUAUUUUAACACUUCUAAGGCUUAAUUGCCCCACAGCAUUGGUAAAAUUGAAGGCUGGAGGCGCCGCAUCACCACACAGAUGCAGGCAUUUUUCUACACAGUGAAUAAAUAUUGCAGCAAACUAGAGACAACCACCCAACAGUUGCAGACAUUUUUCUACACAGUGAAUAAAUAUUGCAGCAAACUAGAGACAACCACCCACGUGUAUGGUUAAAAUUUUUUCUACAAAAGCAAUUGUGUUUGCUGUAGCCAUGUAGGCCCUUUGAUUGUGAAGCAUAUUCAAGCAUUCCCACUUUCCUAGGUACAGCCGUACAGAGGUACCCACAUCAAAAAUUACACCUUUAAGACUUGAAUGCAAAACUAGGGAUUGCCUCUUUGCUAGCAUAUUGUGAGAAGUCUACAGGAUCAGGAACGUGGGGAGGUGUUGCACAUCUCACCAGGGCCCAGUUCA
Molecule: long non-coding RNA, 623 nt
Organism: Quercus lobata
Lineage: Eukaryota; Viridiplantae; Streptophyta; Magnoliopsida; Fagales; Fagaceae
Exons: 5
Source: RefSeq, a predicted model, not a curated record